Molecule: ribosomal RNA, 236 nt
Filed under: uncultured bacterium
Lineage: Bacteria
Description: partial 16S ribosomal RNA
Rfam family: Bacterial small subunit ribosomal RNA
Source: RNAcentral
CGUAAAGGGUGCGUAGGCGGCUUAGCAAGCCAGGGGUGAAAGGCAUUGGCUCAACCAAUAGUAAGCCUUUGGAACUGUUAAGCUUGAGUGCAGGAGAGGUAAGUGGAAUUCCUAGUGUAGAGGUGAAAUUACGUAGAUAUUAGGAGGAACACCAGUGGCGAAGGCGACUUACUGGACUGUAACUGACGCUGAUGCACGAAAGCGUGGGUAGCGAACAGGAUUAGAUACCCUGGUAG